UCUCUUGAUGAUCUUCCUUUUCCAAACUUGACUCCUCACUUUCACUCCAUUCAGCCAUGAAGUUCUUCUUUUUAAGUUUUCUUGCCAUCCACUUUAAUUCCGGGCAAUCUAUCUUAUAAUGUCCGGAUUUGUUACACUCAUAACAAAUAGGUGUUUUUUUUUCUUUUCUUUGUCCUUACCCUUUUCUUUGCUUGAGCUACCUUUGAAGAAGGAUUUUUUUUUAUGAAAUCUAUUCUUACCUCUCAUAAAUUUUCUGAAUUUUCUUUCAAGCAUAGCCAUUCCUUCUUCAUCAAAUUCAUCAUCAUCAUCAGAAUCUUCCGACUCAGUUUGUUGUUUUGGAGUGGU
Molecule: long non-coding RNA, 345 nt
Filed under: Phoenix dactylifera (date palm)
Lineage: Eukaryota; Viridiplantae; Streptophyta; Magnoliopsida; Arecales; Arecaceae
Description: long non-coding RNA (PDAC_LNC005072)
Source: RNAcentral